AUGCACCUUAAGGUUUGGGACCACAUAGCUGGGAGCAACUUACCACUGGGUGUGGCUAAAAACAGCUUUCUCUUCACAUCAUUUAUAAAUCUGUUUUUAUGUUCCUCCAUGUCUCUUCCUGUCAAAGGAAUGGAAUGUGGGAUGGGAUUGUCUAUUAUUAUUUCACAAUUAAGGAUAAUGACGUGGAACAUCCUAGGUGAGUCACUAGUGUGGCCAGGAAUUGCAGCUUCACUGGUUAGCUGUUUUCCAGCCAGCCUGGCCAUUUCUGUUCACACGCCUAUGGUUUCUGAUGCUGAGCCCAGUGUGUCCAGGAACAGGAUGCCGAAAUGGAUGCUGUCACCUCCCUACUAGACCAACGACCCUGGGAGUAGCCUGCUGGGGACCCUCAUCCCUGAGACCUCAAGACCAGAAGUCCAGAGUCAUUCUAUAGUUCCCCCGUGGCUUCUGUUUUCCUUGUUGUUGUUGCCUCUCCUUUUCUUGCUGGAACAGUUUGGCGUGAUCAUGAGUGGUACGGGGAGGGGUCACUUGGUGGUCCUUUCUGUCCAUGGACUGUCCCCGCAUAGUGUGAUUUGUCCUUAGGUUAGCAUCGGGGCAGUGACAGAGCUGGGAUAUAUGCUGAAGGUUCAAAAGCCAGCCUGCCUCUUUCCCUCUGCAAAUAGCUGCAGCUGGGAGACAUUCUUUACAAGUGAACAUUAAACAGGAAUAAUGCAAAUUUGGAAUUUUUAAUAAUGUGGAUGUGCUCUCAAGCCUAGGAAGGAAGAAGGGAGGGAGAGAGGGAAAGAAGGAUGAAAGGUAGCCUUUCCGGGAAGGGACAAUCUAAAAGGACUCAGGAGGCCUGUUUCCUACCCUGUCCACCCAGGCAUCUGAGAUUAGCAGUGUGAUACUCAGCCUGUGGGUUCCCACCAUAAAACUCUCCUUGGCUUGGCUAAGAUCUGGAUUUGCAAAUCACUUGGGAUUCAAUUUUGUUUUGGUUAUCUCAGUGUAAAUAGCAGUUAAGUGGGAGUUACAGAUUUUUCAAACACGAAAAGUGAUAAACAAAGCUAAUGGCAAGCCCAGAUAAGGAGGGAAACCACCCAGGAGAAUCCACAAGUACAAGCACAGGAGAAAAUGGAAUGGGCAGAUCUGUGUUUCUUGUCACCUAAACUUUGUUUUUUCUCCUGUGCGGAGGGGCAGAAAAGGUAGAGGCACGAUGCUCCUUAGGCUGUUCCUGUCCCAGUCUUCAGGAUCGCACUGUCCUAGGUGCCCAGCGAAGCAAGACAGUUUGGGAAUCCACACAUCCGUCCUCAGAACCAAAGAUACAAGUGUUUCCCAACUGUUAGCUUGCAGCUCCUUCUAAACAAUUUUCACGCCU
RNAcentral lists this long non-coding RNA (1351 nucleotides) under Oryctolagus cuniculus (rabbit). RNAcentral describes it as "lncRNA (ENSOCUG00000034293.1)". The record is from RNAcentral. Lineage: Eukaryota; Metazoa; Chordata; Mammalia; Lagomorpha; Leporidae.